Aotus nancymaae (Ma's night monkey) is the source of this 170-nucleotide small nucleolar RNA. NCBI's taxonomy places the organism in Eukaryota, Metazoa, Chordata, Mammalia, Primates, Aotidae. The record is from Ensembl.
AACUUCUUAUAUAAGCACUGUGCUAAAAUUGCAGAAACUAGGACCAUAUCUUGGUUUUUGUAAUAAUGCUAGCAGAGUACAUACAAGAAUAAACAUAACAGCAUUAGAUUGUAAAGACUGGGGUGAGGUCAGGCGCAGUGGCUCACACCUGUAAUUCCAGCACUUUGGGA